This 789-nucleotide long non-coding RNA is filed under the name Homo sapiens (human). Its description in RNAcentral is "HSALNT0044066". Lineage: Eukaryota; Metazoa; Chordata; Mammalia; Primates; Hominidae. The record is from RNAcentral.
AGGGAGAACUGUCCUUGAAGAAAAAGUAUCAGUUGCCUUCCGCCAAGAAGUAGUAGUAAAAGAAAGACUAGAAUUAGAAGUAGUAGAAGCAGAAGUGGAAGAAAUUCCGGAAGAAGAAGAGUUCCAUGAAGUUGAAGAAUAUUUUGAAGAAGGCGAGUUUCAUGAAGUAGAAGAAUUCAUCAAAUUAGAACAACAUAGAGUUGAAGAAGAACACAGAGUUGAAAAAGUUCAUAGGGUAAUAGAAGUUUUUGAGGCUGAAGAAGUGGAAGUAUUUGAAAAACCAAAAGCUCCACCUAAAGGGCCUGAGAUAUCUGAGAAAAUCAUCCCUCCAAAAAAACCGCCCACUAAAGUUGUUCCUCGAAAAGAGCCACCAGCUAAAGUACCGGAGGUGCCUAAGAAAAUUGUGGUAGAAGAAAAAGUACGUGUUCCUGAAGAGCCCAGAGUUCCACCAACUAAAGCACCCGAAGUACCCAAGAAAAUUGUCCCAGAAGAAAAAGUUCGUGAAGCUGUUCUGAAAAAGCCUGAAGUUCCACCAGCUAAAGUGCCAGAAGCUUCCAAAGAGGUUAUCCGCGAAGAGAAAGUGCCCUUGGCUCCUCCUAAAGAGCCUGAAGUCCCACCUGUUAAAGUACCAGAGCCUCCCAAAGAAGUAGUUCCUGAAAAGAAAGCGCCAGUGGCUCCUCCUAAAGAGCCUGAAGUCCCACCUGUUAAAGUGCCUGAGGCUCCCAAAGAAGUUGUUCCUGAAAAGAAAGUGCCAGUGCCUCCUCCUAAAAAGCCUGAAGUGCCACCCAC